CUACGAUACCUGGCAGAGGAGAAAAAAUAAUCACCUAGGUGUUUUUCCCAAGGUGAGGCUAAUCCCUUAUACUCUGACUGUGCUGAUUUCUUGUGAUUUCCCCAAGUUGGGUAACUCGAGGGCAUAGAUUUUGGUAAGUGGACAUGGAGUAGCGCUUCCCCUUCUU
This 166-nucleotide small nuclear RNA is filed under the name Sorex araneus (European shrew). RNAcentral describes it as "U1 spliceosomal RNA (ENSSARG00000014845.1)". It matches the Rfam family "U1 spliceosomal RNA". From Rfam's summary of the family: U1 is a small nuclear RNA (snRNA) component of the spliceosome (involved in pre-mRNA splicing). Its 5' end forms complementary base pairs with the 5' splice junction, thus defining the 5' donor site of an intron. Lineage: Eukaryota; Metazoa; Chordata; Mammalia; Eulipotyphla; Soricidae. The record is from RNAcentral.